GCUCUUGUAGCUCAGUUGGUAGAGCAUCGCUCUUAUACAUGAAUGUAUGCAAAGGAAGCGAUAGGCGAGAGUCGUGGGUUCAAUCCCCACCAAGAGCA
This 98-nucleotide transfer RNA is filed under the name Flavobacteriia bacterium. Its description in RNAcentral is "tRNA-Ile". It matches the Rfam family "tRNA". Rfam says of the family: Transfer RNA (tRNA) molecules are approximately 80 nucleotides in length. Their secondary structure includes four short double-helical elements and three loops (D, anti-codon, and T loops). The record is from RNAcentral. Lineage: Bacteria; Pseudomonadati; Bacteroidota; Flavobacteriia.